RNAcentral lists this ribosomal RNA (443 nucleotides) under uncultured Porphyromonadaceae bacterium. RNAcentral's name for it is "bacterial SSU rRNA". It matches the Rfam family "Bacterial small subunit ribosomal RNA", at positions 355 to 794 of the family's 1533-position model. The record is from RNAcentral. Lineage: Bacteria; Pseudomonadati; Bacteroidota; Bacteroidia; Bacteroidales; Porphyromonadaceae.
UGAGGAAUAUUGGUCAAUGGACGAAAGUCUGAACCAGCCAUGCCGCGUGAAGGAAUAAGGCCCUAUGGGUCGUAAACUUCUUUUGUAUGUGAGCAAUAAGGUCCACGAGUGGUCCGAUGAGAGUAGCAUACGAAUAAGCAUCGGCUAACUCCGUGCCAGCAGCCGCGGUAAUACGGAGGAUGCGAGCGUUAUCCGGAUUUAUUGGGUUUAAAGGGUGCGCAGGCGGACUCGUCAAGUCAGCGGUAAAAAUUCGGGGCUCAACCCCGUCCUGCCGUUGAAACUGCGAGACUGGAGUGCGACAGAGGAAGGCGGAAUGCGAGGUGUAGCGGUGAAAUGCAUAGAUAUCGCGCAGAACUCCGAUUGCGAAGGCAGCCUUCCAUGUCGUAACUGACGCUGAGGCACGAAAGCGUGGGGAUCGAACAGGGAUUAGAUACCCUGGUAGU